GCAGGUGGGGGUGCUCCCUCUCUCUCUGUCUGCUCUCUCUCUCUAUCUCUCUCUCUCACUCUCGCUCUCUGUCUGCUCUCUCUCCCUCUCUCUCUCUCUCUCUCUCUCUCUGCUCUCUGUGGGUCCCGCCGAAGGCCUCCGCCAAACGCGGGGAGGCCCCCCUGGUGCUCGGCGGGCGCACAUGGUAGGCCCCUCCCCUCUCUCUCCCUUUCUCUCUCUCUCUUCUGCUCUCUCUCUCUCUCUUCCUCGGUUCUCUCUCUCUCCCCCUCUCUCUGUAUGCUCUCUCUCUCUCCUCGGGCAGAGCUGAGCAGGGGAGGGAAUUGCUGGCGAGACGACGCGUGGC
Molecule: long non-coding RNA, 343 nt
Filed under: Ananas comosus (pineapple)
Lineage: Eukaryota; Viridiplantae; Streptophyta; Magnoliopsida; Poales; Bromeliaceae
Description: long non-coding RNA (ACOM_LNC024539)
Source: RNAcentral